Molecule: transfer RNA, 73 nt
Filed under: Treponema sp.
Lineage: Bacteria; Pseudomonadati; Spirochaetota; Spirochaetia; Treponematales; Treponemataceae
Description: tRNA-Thr
Rfam family: tRNA
About the family: Transfer RNA (tRNA) molecules are approximately 80 nucleotides in length. Their secondary structure includes four short double-helical elements and three loops (D, anti-codon, and T loops).
Source: RNAcentral
GCCAAGGUAGCUCAGCCGGCAGAGCAGCGCACUUGUAAUGCGCAGGUCCCGGGUUCGAUUCCCGGCCGUGGCU